This 400-nucleotide ribosomal RNA is filed under the name uncultured bacterium. RNAcentral describes it as "bacterial SSU rRNA". It matches the Rfam family "Bacterial small subunit ribosomal RNA", at positions 355 to 769 of the family's 1533-position model. The record is from RNAcentral.
UGGGGAAUAUUGGGCAAUGGGCGCAAGCCUGACCCAGCAACGCCGCGUGAAGGAAGAAGGUUUUCGGAUUGUAAACUUCUGUCCUAAGUGACGAAGGAAGUGACGGUAGCUUAGGAGGAAGCCCCGGCUAACUACGUGCCAGCAGCCGCGGUAAUACGUAGGGGGCGAGCGUUGUCCGGAAUGACUGGGCGUAAAGGGCGUGUAGGCGGCUGAUUAAGUCUGAAGUGAAAGUCCUGCUUUCAAGGUGGGAAUUGCUUUGGAGACUGGUCGGCUUGAGUGCGGAAGAGGUAAGUGGAAUUCCCAGUGUAGCGGUGAAAUGCGUAGAUAUUAGGAGGAACACUGGUGGCGAAGGCGGCUUUCUGGACUGUAACUGACGCUGAGGCACGAAAGCGUGGGGAGC